This 496-nucleotide ribosomal RNA is filed under the name uncultured bacterium. RNAcentral describes it as "partial 16S ribosomal RNA". It matches the Rfam family "Bacterial small subunit ribosomal RNA", at positions 28 to 507 of the family's 1533-position model. The record is from RNAcentral.
GAUGAACGCUGGCGGCGUGCCUAAUACAUGCAAGUCGAGCGAACAGACGAGGGGCUUGCUCCUGUGACGUUAGCGGCGGACGGGUGAGUAACACGGGGGUAACCUACCUAUAAGACGGGGAUAACUUCGGGAAACCGGAGCUAAUACCGGAGAACAUCUGGAACCGCAUGGUUCUAAGUGAAAGUUGGGUUUGCUAGUAGGUAUAGAUGGACUCGUGCCGUAUUAGCUAGUUGGUAAGGUAAAGGCGUACCAAGGCAACGAUCCGUAGCCGACCUGAGAGGGUGACCGGCCACACUGGAACUGAGACACGGUCCAGACUCCUACGGGAGGCAGCAGUGGGGAAUUUUGCGCAAUGGGCGAAAGCCUGACGGAGCAACGCCGCGUGUGUGAUGAAGGCCUUCGGGUCGUAAAGCACUGUUAUUCGGGAAGAACAACUGUGUAAGUAUCUAUGCACGUCUUGACGGUACCUAAUCAGAAAGCCCCGGCUAACUACGUG